UGAACGCUGGCGGUAGGCCUAACACAUGCCCGUCGAACGGCAGCACAGUAAGAGCUUGCUCUUACGGGUGGCGAGUGGCGGACGGGUGAGGAAUACAUCGGAAUCUACUUUUUCGUGGGGGAUAACGUAGGGAAACUUACGCUAAUACCGCAUACGACCUACGGGUGAAAGCAGGGGAUCUUCGGACCUUGCGCGAUUGAAUGAGCCGAUGUCGGAUUAGCUAGUUGGCGGGGUAAAGGCCCACCAAGGCGACGAUCCGUAGCUGGUCUGAGAGGAUGAUCAGCCACACUGGAACUGAGACACGGUCCAGACUCCUACGGGAGGCAGCAGUGGGGAAUAUUGGACAAUGGGCGCAAGCCUGAUCCAGCCAUACCGCGUGGGUGAAGAAGGCCUUCGGGUUGUAAAGCCCUUUUGUUGGGAAAGAAAAGCAGCAGGUUAAUACCCCGCUGUUCUGACGGUACCCAAAGAAUAAGCACCGGCUAACUUCGUG
RNAcentral lists this ribosomal RNA (490 nucleotides) under uncultured bacterium. Its description in RNAcentral is "partial 16S ribosomal RNA". It matches the Rfam family "Bacterial small subunit ribosomal RNA", at positions 30 to 507 of the family's 1533-position model. The record is from RNAcentral.